GGGCCGUUAGCUCAGUCGGUAGAGCAACUGACUUUUAAUCAGUGGGUCGCAGGUUCGAAUCCUGCACGGCUCA
The sequence is a transfer RNA, 73 nucleotides long. It matches the Rfam family "tRNA". From Rfam's summary of the family: Transfer RNA (tRNA) molecules are approximately 80 nucleotides in length. Their secondary structure includes four short double-helical elements and three loops (D, anti-codon, and T loops).